GGGAAUGUGGCUUAGUGGUAGAGUGCCUGCCUAGAAUGCAGGAAGCCAUGGGUUUGAUUCUUCAGGACCA
RNAcentral lists this transfer RNA (70 nucleotides) under Dipodomys ordii (Ord's kangaroo rat). It matches the Rfam family "tRNA". From Rfam's summary of the family: Transfer RNA (tRNA) molecules are approximately 80 nucleotides in length. Their secondary structure includes four short double-helical elements and three loops (D, anti-codon, and T loops). The record is from Rfam by way of RNAcentral. Lineage: Eukaryota; Metazoa; Chordata; Mammalia; Rodentia; Heteromyidae.